UGACCUCGGAUCAGGUAGGAAUACCCGCUGAACUUAAGCAUAUCAAUAAGCGGAGGAAAAGAAACCAACAGGGAUUGCCUUAGUAACGGCGAGUGAAGCGGCAACAGCUCAAAUUUGAAAUCUGGCUACUUUGUAGUCCGAGUUGUAAUUUGUAGAGGAUGCUUUUGGUGAGGUGCUUUCUGAGUUCCCUGGAACGGGACGCCAGAGAGGGUGAGAGCCCCGUACAGUUAGCAACUGAUCCUUUGUAUAGCUCCUUCGACGAGUCGAGUAGUUUGGGAAUGCUGCUCUAAAUGGGAGGUAUAUCUCUUCUAAAGCUAAAUAUAGGCUAGAGACCGAUAGCGCACAAGUAGAGUGAUCGAAAGAUGAAAAGCACUUUGAAAAGAGAGUUAAACAGCACGUGAAAUUGUUGAAAGGGAAGCGCCUAUGACCAGACUUGUUUCUAUCAGUUUUGGUAGUUUUCGGACUGCUUUACUCUGUUAGUACAGGCCAACAUCAGUUUGUUGUCGGGGAGAAAGGCUUAGGGAAUGUGG
Molecule: ribosomal RNA, 530 nt
Filed under: Ambrosiella roeperi
Lineage: Eukaryota; Fungi; Ascomycota; Sordariomycetes; Microascales; Ceratocystidaceae
Description: eukaryotic LSU rRNA
Rfam family: Eukaryotic large subunit ribosomal RNA
Source: RNAcentral